Molecule: non-coding RNA, 307 nt
Organism: Pelobates cultripes (western spadefoot toad)
Lineage: Eukaryota; Metazoa; Chordata; Amphibia; Anura; Pelobatidae
Source: the annotation of a GenBank genome assembly
GACUAGUGACAGAGUGAGGGGAUGACUGGUGACAGAGUGAGGGGAUGACUGGUGACAGAGGGAGGGAGUGACUAGUGACAGAGGGAGGGAGUGACUAGUGACAGAGUGAGGGAGGGGGUGACUGUCACUAGUCACCCCAUCCCUCUCUCUGUCACUAGUCACUCCCUCCCUAACUCUGUCACUUUGUCACCCGCUCCCUCACUCUGUCACUAGUCACCCCCUCACUCACUCUGUCACUAAUCACCCCCUCUGUCCCUAGUCACCCCCUUCCUCACUCUGUCACUAGUCACCCCAUCCCUCUCUCUGU